GCAGAGAAGCUGGAAGAAUCGAGAAGAAAGAAAGAAAGAAAAGAUAAAGGAAAGAUAGAAAGAACAAAAGAUAGAAAGCAAAAAGGAGAAGGAAAAAAAAGACAGGAAAAGAGGUAGGGUUGGCUAUCCCAAUUUCAUCUUCAAUUUGACAAAUUUCUUAGUAUGUUUUAUGCUUAAUUUUUUUGGGUUGUGAUUUAUUGGUUUAAUUUUUAGAUUGAAGGAAGGAAUAUGUUUGCAAACCAAUAUUUUUGAAUUGGGAAGGUUACUUACACUAAGGUAAGAAAUACCAAUUCUGGAGAAAACCUAAAAUUUUUAUUUGGAUUUUUGAAUGAGUAUAGUUAACCGGAAUAAUUGUAGAAUGGAAUACUCAUUUGAAGGCAUGAAUUUAUGGAUCAAGAUGGAAAAUUAAAUUGGUUAAAUUAUAAUUAUUAGUUUUACUAGUUUGGAAGAAGGAAUUAUUUUUAUGUUGAAGUGGAGAUUAUUUUGAUGAAUUAGAUUUUGGUGAAAGGACUAGAAGGUAGAUUUAGUUCCAAUUGUGAGCGAAAUUAAAGAAUAUAUCCAAGUGUCGAGAAGUCAAGUUCUAGUAUUUCGUAGUUAAAAGUUAAGGAUAUUUGGUAGAGUGGUUGUUAAAUUGAUUAUCUUGUAUCAUAUUUCAGGAGAUGACGAGAAGAUUGAAAUAAUUAUCAGUCUAUAAGUUAGUGAGUGGAUAUCAAACUCAUUUUUCAGAAAUUAAUAUUUAUUAGAUUUAUGUUAGAAUAAAAAAUUUGUUAUUUCAUACAGUUGAUUUGACAACAUGAUUUUUAGAAUAAAGUGGAUUUAUAAUCAGUUGUUUUUAAAGUUAAAUUUAGUUCAAUUAAAUCAUUUGAUUAGCAAGUUAUAUGAAAAUUAAAUAUUUCAGCAUAUUUAAAGUUAUUUGUAAAAUCACCAAAAAGUGCCUAGAUGAUUUUACCCUAGUCUGCACUUGUGUGAAUAUGUUUACAUAGUGUAUGGCCAGUUAUGGUUAUUUUACCCUAGUCUGUACUGGUGUAAGUGUGUUUCCACAGUGUAUGACUAGUUAUGGUGAUUUUACCCGCUUUGCAAUAUUGUGAAUGUAUUUCCAUAGUGUAUGAUCAGAUUAUCAGAGGUCUUUGUGUAAUGAUCCGGAUCUCUUUACCCAAAUCGUUAGCUUACGUACUGUCCGCUUUGGGUGGACCUUGCAUCCACUUACCCCUCACGGCUUUCUGUCGCGUUCCCCAGGAUUCAAACUCAUAACUUUUCCCUUAAGUAAUGCUUAAAUUGAAUCCUGGUACCAAUUGGGCAAGUGAAGUCUUUCUUAAGGGAAUGUUAUGAGUUCGCAUCCAGAAGACGCGAUAGAAAGCCGUGAGGGUAAGUGAGCGCAAGGCCCACCCAAAGCGAACAGUACGUAAACUAACGGCUUGGAUAAAGAGACCCAGGUCGUUACACAUUGGGACCUACUCUCGUACACGCAUAGGCUUUGGACUGUGUACUAGGGUGAUUAUCCUUGGGGCAGUACUGCAUACGUAUUACCAGAUUAUCAGAUGUGAAUGGCUUUACCUUGUAUAUCGAGAUUACUCUGUACAUGAGUAAGGCUAUUCAUUGAGUACCUUUUUGGUGUGAUUUUCAGUAUUAUACAGUUUAUCAAAUUUCAGACUACAGAAUUUAGCUUAUUUAGUUUGUAGAGUAAUGAUUUCAGCUUAUAGUAUUGUGAAAUGAUAUUUUCACUUAUAUUUACUGAUAUCAGAUUAUUUAUAUUUGUUAUACUUUAUAGCUGUUUAUCUAGAAUUAAGAACAAAGAAUUUUAUGAUGCAAUCAUAUUUAGUUUUAAAAGAGUUACCAGAUUUCAGAAUUUCUUAAAGUUUUAAUAGAGUAAGAAUUUAAAGAAAAUAUUCAUAAACGAGAAAAGUAUACUUAUUUGCAAACCAUCCACUCACUGUGUUAUAAGCUCAUGUUUUGUCACCCUCUUUCUAAGCAGAUAGUAGCAGAGUUGAGUAGCCUUGGAGCCUGUCGAUCUAUCGAAUUGAGCCACACACACUGCCAUUAUUUGUAUGACUCAUUUUGUCAAUCUAUGGAAUUUAUAUAUUUUUUCUUUGGCACACAUGUUUGUUUGUCAGAAAAAUUAAUUAGCAAGUCAUGUGUCCAUAUCUUGGGCUCACUACAAAUUUGGUAUCCUUAAUAUUUUUGGUGUCUUUUGUUUGUAAAGCAUAGUAAAUAUCAACUUGCCAGUAUUCUAUUUUGAAUAGUUUGUAUUUUAAGGGACUAGUGUGUCCUAUUUUAAAUUAUAUGAACGGAUUUGAGAAAAUUGAUUCUUGUUUAGAUGGUUUUACUUCAUAUUCCAAGGAAACUCUGCCAAAAUUCUGUUAAAAAUAUUUUUCAGUCAAGCAAGUCAGAGUUGCCUUGGUGGUGGAUUCGUCUCUUAGGUGGUAUCUACCAUCGACACACGACACGUGUUGGUUCAUUAAGGUGAUUCAGGAUGGGUUGUGUCAAUUGGUAUCAGAGCAUGGUUUAUAAAGUUUUGAAAGUCUUCAUUGUUCAUGCAUUGGUAUGUCAUGCAUAUUCAGUGUGUGUGGUCACAUGUCGUGGUGCUAGAAAUCACAGUCUCUCAAGUUCUUGCUUCUAGAUUGUUUGGAACUUAAGUGAGGGAAAUAUUUUUAACAGAUUCAAAAAUGACUAGUAUGUAAGUAUAUCAGUUGCAAUGACUUAAUGGUUGACAAUAUUAUAAGUUGUUGGAUUUGUACAGUGGUGUAUGUAACAUAUUACUCAAUAAGGGUGCAAUUGGGAAC
RNAcentral lists this long non-coding RNA (2780 nucleotides) under Olea europaea subsp. europaea. The record is from RNAcentral. Lineage: Eukaryota; Viridiplantae; Streptophyta; Magnoliopsida; Lamiales; Oleaceae.